Molecule: ribosomal RNA, 253 nt
Filed under: uncultured bacterium
Lineage: Bacteria
Description: partial 16S ribosomal RNA
Rfam family: Bacterial small subunit ribosomal RNA
Source: RNAcentral
UACAGAGGUCUCAAGCGUUGUUCGGAUUCAUUGGGCGUAAAGGGCGCGUAGGCGGCGCGGUAAGUCGGGUGUGAAAUCUUGGAGCUUAACUCCGAAACUGCAUUCGAUACUGCCGUGCUUGAGGACUGGAGAGGAGACUGGAAUUUACGGUGUAGCGGUGAAAUGCGUAGAUAUCGUAAGGAAGACCAGUGGCGAAGGCGGGUCUCUGGACAGUUCCUGACGCUGAGGCGCGAAGGCCAGGGGAGCAAACGGG